GGAGGUGUGGCUCAGGGGCAGAGCACUUGCCUGCCAUGCAGAGAGCCCUGGGUUCAACCCCGAGCACCAGUA
This 72-nucleotide transfer RNA is filed under the name Fukomys damarensis (Damara mole-rat). It matches the Rfam family "tRNA". Rfam says of the family: Transfer RNA (tRNA) molecules are approximately 80 nucleotides in length. Their secondary structure includes four short double-helical elements and three loops (D, anti-codon, and T loops). Lineage: Eukaryota; Metazoa; Chordata; Mammalia; Rodentia; Bathyergidae. The record is from Rfam by way of RNAcentral.